CCCGGCGAUCUCCAUGACGAGGAGGGAGUAGUUCUCCCUCGGGGCUGAGGGUAUGUACUAGUAGCUAUGUGUUUGAUCUCUCUCUCGUGUUCUUGAGAUGUCUUGAUCUCGAUGUACUAUGGGCUUUGCUACUAUAGUUGGAUCUUAUGAUGUUCUUCCCCCUCUCCCUCUUGUAAUGAAUUGAGUUUCCCCUUUGGAGUUAUCUUAUCGGAUUGAGUCUUUGAGAACACUUUAUGUAUGUCUUGCACGUGUCUAUCU
This 258-nucleotide long non-coding RNA is filed under the name Hordeum vulgare. Its description in RNAcentral is "long non-coding RNA (HVUL_LNC000998)". The record is from RNAcentral. Lineage: Eukaryota; Viridiplantae; Streptophyta; Magnoliopsida; Poales; Poaceae.